Homo sapiens (human) is the source of this 1263-nucleotide long non-coding RNA. The record is from Ensembl. NCBI's taxonomy places the organism in Eukaryota, Metazoa, Chordata, Mammalia, Primates, Hominidae.
GGAAGAACAGAAUUCAACUGAUACAACACUGGAGGGGUGAAAACAAGACAGAGAGAGAGAGAGAGAGAGAGAGAGAGAUGAGGGGCCCGCACAUGCCCUGCUCAUCUCAAAACUUCUCGAGAAGCAAAUCUAACUUGCAGGAACUUUGAGAAAGGCAGGAGAAGCAAAAAAGCAAAAUGAGAUUGUUUUCAUAACUUAAAGAGGCUGAAAAUGAUGAAACUGGGCUGAGAUGUGUUACAGGAGCCUACACAGCUAGAAGGAUAGAUUCGAGGUCAUGCUUUGAGCAAAAGCCAUUAAAAUACAUAAAUAACAUUGUAUCACACUUUUGCCUCUCAAGUUGAGACUGCCUCUAAAUUGACUAGCGUUACAAAUAUCCUAACAGAAAACUAUCCCUAAAACCUAGAAAGCCAUAUUAUGCUUUGGCAAUCAUCUGACCAUGUACAACAAAUGUAAUGAAAACGGUAAACCUGAACCAAGGCAAACCCAACAGUUUAAUUUAAAAACUUGAAGAUACUAAGUAUUCCCUUCAACUGGACAUUCAGAAACUUCACGUGGCUACAUUGUAUUUCCCCCCACGAGUUGCUUCAGGGUUGUGAAAUUCACUGGACUGUGGAGGGAGCCUUAAACCUUUGUGGGUGAUUGACGUCUAAAGUACCUGAGCUUUUCUGGUUCUGCUGACCCUCAGUCUCCUGGACCCUAGAAGAAGAAUCAGACCCAUCCUUCAGUCUCAUCUCUAGAAGCCCAGAAUAAAAUGAAAAAGCUAUAGAUACCAGGCUUUACAGAAGCAGAAUCAGGUUGUGGUUGCAGAAAAAAUAAGAACAGCGAAAGACGCGUGGGGCAUCACAUCUCCAUCUUGCAGGAACUGGCAGCGAUGGUCCAGGCCAACGCCUCUCGAGGUGGCCUCCUCCUCCCAUGUGAGGGAAGGACUCACCAGGGGCUUCCCUGCUGGUAGGGCUCAGAGACGUUACUGUUAUUUAACUCCAAACCCAUCACCGGCGCCUGAGAUGCAGGCUUGUGUGCGGGGCAGAUGGCCAGCUGUCAGGGAGGACGUGAGCACUUCACUUUCAAGGACCGGUUCUGACCCUGGAGCACGCAGGGUGCGGCCUGGCGCUGAGUCCCGUGUUACUCACCUCAACGUGUUUUAACGCUGUUUCCUCCUUCCCAUUUGAUAACCCACCUCUUCGACAAACGACCUUCAAUAUUUGAGUGGUAACAGAAACGGAGCCACUGUGGCAAUAAAUUGCUCAUAAGCUUGGACAGAAA